Molecule: ribosomal RNA, 264 nt
Filed under: uncultured bacterium
Lineage: Bacteria
Description: partial 16S ribosomal RNA
Rfam family: Bacterial small subunit ribosomal RNA
Source: RNAcentral
GUCCACGCCCUAAACGAUGUCUACUAGUUGUCGGGUCUUAAUUGACUUGGUAACGCAGCUAACGCGUGAAGUAGACCGCCUGGGGAGUACGGUCGCAAGAUUAAAACUCAAAGGAAUUGACGGGGACCCGCACAAGCGGUGGAUGAUGUGGAUUAAUUCGAUGCAACGCGAAAAACCUUACCUACCCUUGACAUGGCAGAAAUCCCUGAGAGAUUGGGGAGUGCUCGAAAGAGAAUCUGCACACAGGUGCUGCAUGGCUGUCGU